Raphanus sativus (radish) is the source of this 1203-nucleotide long non-coding RNA. RefSeq lists it as uncharacterized. Lineage: Eukaryota; Viridiplantae; Streptophyta; Magnoliopsida; Brassicales; Brassicaceae. The transcript has 3 exons. The record is from RefSeq and is a predicted model, not a curated record.
AUGAAAACGUGUUGCAUCUUCUUCCUCUACUUGGCUAUUAUUCUCCAAUACUGUUUCUACUUCUCUGUUUCGUCAUCAUCACCUCUUCUUCUCCCUCUCUCACACACUCUCUCUCAGCCUCCAAACACUCUUCCUCUCCUCUCCACCUCCUCAAAUUAUCCUCCUCCCGCUCCUCCGCACGUUUCCUCCCUCUACUUCUGGAAGCUACUACCUCCUCUCCCUCUACGUCCCCCUUGCCGUCCUUUCACCUGCAUCCUCUGCGAAUCCAAACCCCCACCUUCACCCACCUCCCUCUCCUCCUCUGCCGCCACCGUCCCCUGCUCCUCCGCUUCCUGCUCCGCCGCACACUCCUCCCUUCAAUCCACUUGACUUCCUCAAAUUCUCAGAUUCAUCUCUAGUCACCAUCGAUUGAAGCUUCAUCACCACACUCCUUUUGACCCCAUCGCUCAUUAUCCCACCACCACCAGCUCGUCACCGCCAUCACCAUCAUCGCCAUAUCCCUCAUCCGCCAUCUCUCUCUCUCUCUCUCUUUCUCUCUCUCUCUCUCUCAUUUUGUUUUGAUUUUACAAGAAAAAGAUGAAUUAGUGUUACCACCAUACUCACACCUACUUCCUCAAGCUUCCCAAUUUCUUCACGCCAAAGGGAGCUGGGUGAAGUUGAGUACUUGGUGCUUGACGAAGCUGACCAGAUGCUUGCUGUUGGGUUUGAGGAGGCUGUGGAGUCGAUUCUCGAGCAGGUAUAGAGAUUCUUCCUUUUAAGAUUGACCUUCCUUUUUUUUUUACUUGGAAGAGAAAGAUGUCAAAGAGUAUGAGGCUUUACAGCCAGAUAAGAUUGCUGUUGAUUGUGGUGAGCAUAACCUCAAGGAACUAAAUGCCAUACAAAGGCUAGCAUGAAGUGUUGUCGUGAGAAGAGUUGGUGGUCGUGAGCUUGAACACAGAGGAGGCACGGCAUUGUGGUAGUGGUGCUAGCUGCCUCUGCUCACCGGAGACUGAAGAUAAUACUUCAUGGUGCCUUGUAGUACAGCCAUUUUCUCGAGUCUCUCUCUCUCCACCAAGUCAUCAUCUCCUUUUGUAAACAAUAUGUAUUGACUUUGUAUGUUAUAAAACUCAUCGUUGAGUUUGUCUUUUGUUCUGUUUUUAAACAUUUAAAACUAUUGUUAACAUAAAUUAUAAAUAAAAAAUAAUAUAUAAAUCAUUUAAAACA